AACGAACGCUGGCGGCAUGCCUAACACAUGCAAGUCGAACGAGACCUUCGGGUCUAGUGGCGCACGGGUGCGUAACGCGUGGGAACCUGCCCUUAGGUUCGGAAUAACUCCCCGAAAGGGGUGCUAAUACCGGAUAAUGUCUUCGGACCAAAGAUUUAUCGCCUUUGGAUGGGCCCGCGUUGGAUUAGCUAGUUGGUAGGGUAAAAGCCUACCAAGGCGACGAUCCAUAGCUGGUCUGAGAGGAUGAUCAGCCACACUGGGACUGAGACACGGCCCAGACUCCUACGGGAGGCAGCAGUGGGGAAUAUGGGACAAUGGGCGAAAGCCUGAUCCAGCAAUGCCGCGUGUGUGAUGAAGGCCUUAGGGUUGUAAAGCUCUUUUACCCGGGAUGAUAAUGACAGUACCGGGAGAAGAAACUCCGGCUAACUCCGU
Molecule: ribosomal RNA, 432 nt
Filed under: uncultured bacterium
Lineage: Bacteria
Description: partial 16S ribosomal RNA
Rfam family: Bacterial small subunit ribosomal RNA
Source: RNAcentral